RNAcentral lists this ribosomal RNA (253 nucleotides) under uncultured bacterium. RNAcentral describes it as "partial 16S ribosomal RNA". It matches the Rfam family "Bacterial small subunit ribosomal RNA", at positions 524 to 776 of the family's 1533-position model. The record is from RNAcentral.
GACAGAGGCCCCGAGCGUUAGUCGGAAUUACUGGGCUUAAAGGGUGCGUAGGCGGGCGCGUAAGUGUUCUGUGAAAUCCCCGGGCUCAACCCGGGAACCGCAGGGCAUACUGCGCGUCUCGAGGAAGCUAGAGGCCGGUGGAACGAUCGGUGGAGCGGUGGAAUGCGUAGAGAUCGAUCGGAACGCCAAGGGUGAAGACAACCGGCUGGGGCUUUCCUGACGCUGAGGCACGAAAGCGCGGGGAUCAAACAGG